UUGAUUGGUAUUAGAUUUGGUAUUUUCAUCGAAUCCCGGGAUUCUCUCAUUUUUCCUUGUAGAUGACGACUGCUAUGGAAUUCUACGAACGUGAAAUCAAUUUUAGUUCAUAUUUGUUUCAUCCGCCGAUUCUGUAUGAAGAACAUAGCUAUGGAUAUGCCGGAUAGAGAAGGUAUAGAUUUAAUUGUCAUCAUGUAAAUCGUUCAGUCCAUUUUUGUGGUUUUAUAUUAGUAUAUUUCUUCGACGAUUUUCGAAUCUGAUUCUGUUUGUUUAUUCAUCAUAUGUUCAAAUCAUACUUCGGGAAUAUGUAAAUAUAUGGUAUGUUAAAAAAUAAUCAAUUCGCAUGUUUGUUGGAGAUUUGCCCUCUCCUAAUUAGUGUUGUAAAUUAUAACUAAAAAAUCAUGAUCAUUGAUUUGGCUAAUUCUGCGAUCUUAAUGCUUCUUUAAUAAUGUAGGGUUAAAAUCAAUUUGUGCAAUUAUGUAUGAUAGUUGGGAAGUAUAUGAUAUAUUUGAUGACCAACGAUUAAGAACAUGAUAUUUCGAAAGGAGAAAGAAACACCUGCCAAAUCGUCGAGUUUGAAUGUGGUUCGUCAUUUUCUUUUCGAUUUUUGUAGUGUUUGCCCCAUUUUUUGUGUAGAAUGCGUGAUGAAAUGUUUGAACUAUGUAUAAUAGUUGCUCAACUUGUUGGAUUUCCAUCGAAUUUCGCUAGUGGCUCGAAUUCCCUUUUCAUGUGAUGAGUUCCAAUUGUUUGAUUAAUUUCCCCAAUGGGCUUCCUUUUGCCUUUGUUAGGGUGGGAAGUGGUGAUUUUCGUACUGUUGAAGUUAUUAUUCAAUAAAUUCAAUAUUUUUUUAGCUUAAUAAGGUUUUUAUAUUUGAUUGUCAUGUUUAAUGCGUGAUGAUAGGCAAUUUUGCUUGAGUUGGAUUUUGAAUGGAUACUACCUGGUGAGUACUAUUUUAGCAUCCCUAAUGGCUCUCUCUUCUUUUUACAAUUAAUCAAUAUGAAUACGCAAGAUUAUAGGUUUGGUUUAAGAAAUAUGAGAAUUUUUUGUGAGAUAUGUUGUUUCUUUUGUUCUGCAAAUGCACGUGUCAUUGUCUUUCUUAUUAUUGCUGACUAAUUUUAGUUCGAGUAUUAUAUGUUUUCAAUGUUUAGUAAGUAAUUCAUUCAUGUUCGAACGUGUCAUUGUCUUUCUUAUUAUUGGUGACUAAUUCUAGUUCGAGUAUUAUAUGUUUUCAAUGUUUAGUAAGUAAUUCAUUCAUGUUCGAAUUAGAAUUGCAGGUCCACCAGGAUAUCGUUAAUGUUGAUGAAGGUAAUCGUUGUAAAAUGUCCAGUAUAUAUUUGUUGAAUACGCGUUUUUAUAUCUAAUGUUUAAUUCACUAUAGAUACACCAAUGGAUAUGUUCAUUUCUCCGCUUAAGAAACGCACGAAGUGGCCUGUCAAACUUCAAUAUUUGUUGAUAAUAUUUGGGGUGGCAUUAUAAUAAAUAUGUGGUAAACUGAAUCAUGAAACUUUAAUAUUUGUUGUCCUAGUGAUAACUAUAGUUUUUGUACGUUCUGGAUUAUGUUGAAAUGAUGUCGUCAUUAAUGUUAUGUUCACAGACACACGAGAUGAAGUUCAAGAUAAUGAUAAUGAUAAUGAAGGUUCAAGAGAAAAAUAAACCAUUUAUAUUGUUCCAAAUUUUUUUUACGCAUACUUUUGUUGACUAAUUAUUUAAUUCUCUAUCCAAAUGGGUGUCCUCACAAUGAACGAGCCAAAAAGAAAACUAAGAUCGCUUCCAAGAGGGCAAAAGGAAAAGGUAAUAUUCUUAUGAAGCUAAAUACUAUAUUGUUUAAAUGUUAUAUGUGUGAAAACAUCAAGAGAUAUACUCUGGUAUGUAGAAAUAUGUCCCCUCCAAAAAAAAAAAGGUAAUAUGUAGCACUAGCAGAUAUAUAAGUUGCUUUAUGAAACAAAACUUGGUAAAACAUAUCUCCUUAAAAUAUUAGUGAAACAUUCUCAUGUUUAAACAGUUGCCGAAAUAGAUGUUCAAGACAAAGAGUUAUCAGGUUCGACAAAAAAUGCCUUUAUAGUAUAUAAAUACAUUUUAAAUUUAGUUUCUUGAACAUAUUUUUUCAAUAACGCUUGGUGUAUCUACUUAGAUGGUUGCCCUCCAAAUUUACCAAAUACCAAGAGAACUAGGUUGUCUUUGCACAGAGAAGAAGCCAAACAGAAAGAUGGCAUUUAAAGACAUUCAUGGGAGAUGGCUCGUCAAGAUGGAAGUGCAUGUCGAUCGUGUCGACAAACAAACAACUUCGAGUGACGUGUGAGAUAUUGUACUACUAUACUGAUUUGGAAAGAAAAUCUGCAUAGUGGGGAUGUUGCGAAGCAAGCCUCUGAGUGUUACAUUGAAAAUUGCAUGAACACAAAAUUCAAUGUAAACUUAUUGCUAAUUGGUUAACUAUAUAUACAACAGUUUGACUGACAUUUUUUGUCAAUGUGGUAGGAUUUUGGGAAUAUUGUUUUAGCAUAUUUGGUUAGGAAGUAGUACUUUAUUUCCGACUUUGCUUACGCUGGAGACUAUAUCUGAACUACCUAUGUGAUAUUUUAAUGAUCAUCUAUC
Molecule: long non-coding RNA, 2592 nt
Organism: Salvia miltiorrhiza (redroot sage)
Lineage: Eukaryota; Viridiplantae; Streptophyta; Magnoliopsida; Lamiales; Lamiaceae
Exons: 3
Source: RefSeq, a predicted model, not a curated record